ACGAACCGUACGAACGUUACUCGGAAUCACUGGGCUUAAAGGGUGCGUAGGCGGUCCGGUAAGUCGGGUGUGAAAUACCUCAGCUCAACUGAGGAAUUGCGCCCGAAACUGUCGGACUUGAGGGAGGCAGAGGUGGGCGGAACUUAGGGUGGAGCGGUGAAAUGCGUUGAUAUCCUAAGGAACACCAGUGGCGAAAGCGGCUCACUGGGCCUUUUCUGACGCUGAGGCACGAAAGCUAGGGGAGCGAACGG
RNAcentral lists this ribosomal RNA (251 nucleotides) under uncultured prokaryote. RNAcentral's name for it is "partial 16S ribosomal RNA". It matches the Rfam family "Bacterial small subunit ribosomal RNA", at positions 525 to 775 of the family's 1533-position model. The record is from RNAcentral.